Molecule: ribosomal RNA, 492 nt
Filed under: uncultured bacterium
Lineage: Bacteria
Description: partial 16S ribosomal RNA
Rfam family: Bacterial small subunit ribosomal RNA
Source: RNAcentral
AGUGAACGCUGGCGGUAGGCCUAACACAUGCAAGUCGAACGGCAGCACAGUAAGGGCUUGCUCUUACGGGUGGCGAGUGGCGGACGGGUGAGGAAUACAUCGGAAUCUACUUUUUCGUGGGGGAUAACGUAGGGAAACUUACGCUAAUACCGCAUACGACCUACGGGUGAAAGCAGGGGAUCUUCGGACUUUGCGCGAUUGAAUGAGCCGAUGUCGGAUUAGCUAGUUGGCGGGGUAAAGGCCCACCAAGGCGACGAUCCGUAGCUGGUCUGAGAGGAGGAGCAGCCACACUAGAACUGAGACACGGUCCAGACUCCUACGGGAGGCAGCAGUGGGGAAUAGUAGACAAUGGGCGCAAUCCUGAUCCAGCCAUACCGCGUGGGUGAAGAAGGCCUUCGGGUUGUAAAGGCCUUUUGUUGGGAAAGAAAAGCAGCAGGUUAAUACCGCGCUGUUCUGACGGUACCCAAAGAAUAAGCACCGGCUAACUUCGUG